This is a non-coding RNA of Podarcis lilfordi (Lilford's wall lizard), 73 nucleotides long. The record is from the annotation of a GenBank genome assembly. NCBI's taxonomy places the organism in Eukaryota, Metazoa, Chordata, Lepidosauria, Squamata, Lacertidae.
GCUGGGAUAGCUUUGUCAUUAGAGCAUGAGACUCUUAAUCUUAGAGUUGUGGGUUCACGCCCCACAUUGGGCA